GCGACUAUCUGAAAUGGCCCAUAAUAGCUUGCUGAUAACUUGAGUGACCUUGAAACUGCAAUAGAAACUUGUCUGUUAGGCUGCAACCUCAAAUAUACCGAAUCUCCAACCUGGAACUCUUUUUUUGCUCUUUUCUUAUCUGCUUGUUGUUUCAUUCUAUGUUGGGCCUUAGUUAAAUUCUCUCGUAUAAUUUCUGUCAUAUGCUGUCUCUCCUGAAGUAAAUUAGUAACAGCCUGAACAGGAGUGGAAUCAGGAAAGGGA
RNAcentral lists this unclassified non-coding RNA (261 nucleotides) under Hevea brasiliensis (rubber tree). Lineage: Eukaryota; Viridiplantae; Streptophyta; Magnoliopsida; Malpighiales; Euphorbiaceae. The record is from RNAcentral.